Molecule: long non-coding RNA, 660 nt
Filed under: Nicotiana tabacum (common tobacco)
Lineage: Eukaryota; Viridiplantae; Streptophyta; Magnoliopsida; Solanales; Solanaceae
Description: long non-coding RNA (NTAB_LNC010252)
Source: RNAcentral
AAUUCCACAAUGUUCCAGUUGAAAGAAUAUCAUUUUGUCCAUUAAAUUAACUGGAAGGAAAGAGAAGUAAUUAUUAGCUCCUGACUUUUUUUUUAUUUGGUGAUUAAUCUUAUAUAUAGAAAACUCCCAUGUACAAAUGUAUAAAAAGAAUGUUCAUGCAACAGCUCUGACUUAUCAAACAAAAAGAGGAAAUAUAACAUUGAUGAAAUUUCUCUAGUGCUUAUUUCGGAAAGUGUCAAUCUCCUGAACUUUAUAUUUGCGUUCUCGAUGCCUUUGUAUACUGAUCUAUAUUCACUUGCACAUAUUCUGUUUGCUGAAAUAAUUUGCAGAACUUAGCUGAAAUAAUUCUCUCUCUCUUCACCAAGCUCAAAGAAAAAGAAAAAAAGAGAGAAAAGUUACUAAUUACUCUGAGCACUGAAUGGGACACUUAUGAGUAAUAUGAUUGGAGGCCAGCAGUUCAUCCCCUAGUCGGGUAAUGCUAAUUCUUUUUUGGCCUUGUGAUAUCUCUCAGUAACUUACACAAUCCCAUAUCUUCUGGUUGCAGGGAUGCUAAUAUGCUUUCCUAUCAGUCAUGCUUGAAACUCUGAUUUCCUGUUAAUGCUUAGCAUCAGGAAAUUGGAUUGUUUAACUACAUCUAAUUUGUUUGCUGAAACUGCUUAC